RNAcentral lists this small RNA (18 nucleotides) under Arabidopsis thaliana (thale cress). RNAcentral's name for it is "Ath_wt_17734". Lineage: Eukaryota; Viridiplantae; Streptophyta; Magnoliopsida; Brassicales; Brassicaceae. The record is from RNAcentral.
ACCGCAUAGCGCAGUGGA